RNAcentral lists this long non-coding RNA (808 nucleotides) under Homo sapiens (human). RNAcentral describes it as "HSALNT0382463". Lineage: Eukaryota; Metazoa; Chordata; Mammalia; Primates; Hominidae. The record is from RNAcentral.
CAGAGGCUCAUAGAGGGCCCCACGUCACAGUCCCUGUAAGGGUCAGUGCGACGACUGGAACCCAAGUGUGUGUCACACUGACCUCAUGCUUGUCCAUCACUCCACACAGCCUUCGAUGCAGGAAAUAGGCUGGUUUCUGAUGCACCUGGUGUCUGAGAGAAGCUUUGGUUCUUUCACUUUUCAGCUUUGCCCUGGCCUGGGCCCAGGCCCUACUCCCGAGGUCAGGCUUGUCCCAAGAGAGGCGGGGCUAGGGUGGGUAAUUAUCUCAGCGGUUGCUGUGAGCUCCAUCCAGCUCAGACUUUAUAAUCCUCAUUCGACGAGCAUCAUUCAUCCAAUAAGCUCUUACUGAGCGUCUUCUUCUGUGUCAAAUGUUGUGCCAGGCUUUGGGGACACAGAUGUGAAGACAGGAUUACACAUGGAGGAACCUGGACUUUGGGGUACCUCAGGGUACAGAGUGUAAUCCCACCCCUUUAUCACCUAUGCCAAGCCAAUCAUGGAAUGGUAUGCCCCCAGCCUCAAUGAUGGCUUCCGAAGUGGGAACUUGACCUUAAGUGUUCUGAGCAGAGAAAAACCUAGGACUUUUGUCCCAUGGCAAAGGAAAAAGAGCUUUCUUCUGGAUGCUGCAGAAGGUAGAUGUGAUACCUGGCACAGCUGCAGUCAUUUUAUGACUAUGAGGAAGGCUGGAGGACAGAAAAGGAAACAGAAGAGAGAAGAGCCCUGAUCCAAUUCUGCCUACACAUGGCGGGUUGCCAGACUACAGUUUGAACAGCCUACACAUUCCUUUUAAAUAAAAGGAAGUGAUUUAAAU